AUUGUUCAGAAUAAAAUUUAAAACAUAAAUAAAUAAAUAUAUACAUGAAAUAUUUAAAUAAAAGAGUAUUUACCGUGAGUAUCCCAAGUGGUAAGAGUUCCUUGGAAAAAAGUUACAAACAGUGACGUCACUGUACCCACGCAUAUUUCCGUCUGGAUGAGGAACAAUCUCACCUUGACCUUCGAGAUUGAAAGUUUAUAUAAAGCUAUCCAGAACGUAAACUUGCUAGCCAGCAUUUAAAUUUAUUCGUUUCUACGAUGGCAAUGACCAUGUACAAGGUUGAAUACCAUUAACUGCAUUCGAUUUAAUACUUAAUUUCUGCUG
Molecule: long non-coding RNA, 324 nt
Organism: Centruroides sculpturatus (bark scorpion)
Lineage: Eukaryota; Metazoa; Arthropoda; Arachnida; Scorpiones; Buthidae
Exons: 3
Source: RefSeq, a predicted model, not a curated record